Non-coding RNA from Nerophis lumbriciformis (worm pipefish), 315 nucleotides. The record is from RefSeq and is a predicted model, not a curated record. Lineage: Eukaryota; Metazoa; Chordata; Actinopteri; Syngnathiformes; Syngnathidae.
CAAACACUGUUCUAGGAGAAUUUGCCAAAUGCAGUAGUGCCCAACUGUUUACAGAGACCAGGGUGGCUGACGGUCCUGGUCACUGAUGACCUCGAUAACUGGACAGGGCACCUUCCUGCGAUCCAGGUAGACUCGCUCCAGCAGAGGCUCCAGCCAGCCCACGUUGCAUUCAACGUGCGAGUCGAGGAAGCUUUUCAUGAUCAUGCUCUGCGGAACGCCCUGCAGACAUGCAAGCCCGCGCUCCUUCCCUGCCGCACGGUUACUGACCGGGCCGCCACCUCCUGCACGCGCGGACAAAAACAGCAUGAGAUGGGG